RNAcentral lists this non-coding RNA (115 nucleotides) under Protocruzia adhaerens. Lineage: Eukaryota; Ciliophora; Spirotrichea. The record is from RNAcentral.
CAAAGAAAAAGAAAAAAUACAACAAAGAAGACAAAACAUGGUCGAGGUCUCUGUUUGCCUUCUUGUUUGCAAUUUCCCCGUAGAAAUAAUUCUUUUUGUUUCCUUUCUUUCCCCU